RNAcentral lists this ribosomal RNA (1441 nucleotides) under uncultured Bordetella sp. RNAcentral describes it as "partial 16S-23S ribosomal RNA intergenic spacer". It matches the Rfam family "Bacterial small subunit ribosomal RNA". Lineage: Bacteria; Pseudomonadati; Pseudomonadota; Betaproteobacteria; Burkholderiales; Alcaligenaceae. The record is from RNAcentral.
AGUUUGAUCCUGGCUCAGAUUGAACGCUGGCGGGAUACUUUAUGCAAGUCGAACGGCAGCACGGACUUCGGUCUGGUGGCGAGUGAACGGGUGAUAUGCCUCGGAACGUGCCUGGCGGCGGGGGAUAACUGCACGCGGCGUAUCAUACCGCAUCGCCCUUCAGAGAAAGCGGGGACCUUCGGGCCUCGCACUAUUGAAACGGCCGAUAUCAGACCAGCUGGACGGUGGGAGUAACGGCUUCCACCCGGGCGACGAUCCGUAGCUGGUUUGAGAGGACGACCAGCCACUGGGACUGAGACCUGGCAGACUCCUACGGGGAGGCAGCAGUGGGUACGGACAAUGGAAGCCACCAGUCCAGCUGACCAUCCGCGUGUGCGAUGAAGGCCGCCGGGUUGUAAAGCACUUUUGGCAGGAAAGAAACGGCGCGGAUAAUACCCAGUACAACGGCGAACCUGCAGGGCAGCACCGGCUAACUGCAUUUUAGCAGCGCGGUAAUACGUAGGGUGCAAGCGUUAAUCGAAUUACUGGGCAUAAAGCGUGCGCAGUGGUUCGGAAAGAAAGAUGUGAAAUCCCGAGCUUAACUUUGGAACUGCAUUUUUAACUACCGAGCUACUGGGGAGUGUGUCAGAGGGAGGUGCGAUUCCGCGAUGUAAGCGGUGAAGUAAGCGAAUAUGCGGAGAACACCGAUGGCGAAGGCAGCCUCCUGGGAUAACAUGGCGCUCCAUGCACGCAGCGUGGGAGCAAACAGGAUUAAAUACACAGGUAGGUCACGCCUAGCGCAAAUAUCAACUAGCUGUUGGAACCUUCGGCCUUGGUAGCGCAGCUAACGCGUGAAGUUGACCGCCUGGGGGUACGGUCGCAAGAUUAAAACUCAAGGAAUUGACGGGGACCCGCACAAGCGAGGUGAGUGAUGUGUAAUUCUGAUGCAACGCGAAAAACCUUACCUACCCUUGACAUGUCUGAAUCCCGAAGAUUUGGGAAUUGCUCGCAAGAGAACCGGAACACAGGUGCUGCAUGGCUGUCGUCAGCUCGUGUCGUGAGAUGUUGGAUUCGUCCCGCAACGUGACCUUGUCAUUAUGAUUGCUGAAAGGGCACUCUAAUGAGACUGCCGGUGACAAACCGGAGGAAGGUGGGGACGUCCAAGUCCUCGCUGGCCCUUAUGGUGCAGGAGCUUCACGUCGCUAAUGGGUCGGGACAGAGGGUCGCCAACCCACGAAGAAGGUAUUGACGAUCAUGGUCGGAUCACCAGUCUGCAACUCGACUGCGUGAAGUCAGAAUCGCUAGUAAUCGCGGACCAGCAUGUCGCGGUGAAUACGUUCCAGGUCUUGUACACACCGCCCGUCACACCAUGAGGUGGGUUUACCAGAAGUAGAUUAGCUAACGCCGUAAGGAGGGCGAUUACCCACGGUAGGAUUCGCGGCCUGAGGUGAAGUCAUGCUCA